GCAAUGGGUGGAUUCGGGUCCAGAUUCUGGCAGGAGGGAGUUUGGGAUCGAGAUCUGGAAAAAAGCACUAGACUGGAAGAGGACGCGAUGGAGUCGGAGCCGCUGGCGGGGACAAAAACCAGAGGCCGGGGAAGGCGCCGGUGGGAGGCAAGGCGCGCAUAGACUUUACCUGCGCACGCGUCGCAGCCAUCUCCGCCCACAGUGGUGGCCACCGCCACUGGUGCUGAAGUGUCGGCGUGUGCCGGGCGCUCCGCUGGGACCCGGGUUGCUGGCCCUGAGUCUCAGCUUUCUCAUCUGUACGGUUGGGACAAGUACAGUAACCCUCGCCCGUCAAGACGGGCCAGGGCUGUGGCGAGGGUCCACGCCUUAGAGCAGGCACCUAUCUUGUGCAGGGCCCUGAGAUGGGGUCUGACUCAGUUCCUGCGGGGAACUUCACCAGUGACCCAGUCAGUGCCCUU
Molecule: long non-coding RNA, 458 nt
Filed under: Homo sapiens (human)
Lineage: Eukaryota; Metazoa; Chordata; Mammalia; Primates; Hominidae
Description: non-protein coding lnc-ANKRD20A2-14:1
Source: RNAcentral